This 253-nucleotide ribosomal RNA is filed under the name uncultured bacterium. RNAcentral's name for it is "partial 16S ribosomal RNA". It matches the Rfam family "Bacterial small subunit ribosomal RNA", at positions 524 to 776 of the family's 1533-position model. The record is from RNAcentral.
UACGUAGGGGGCAAGCGUUGUCCGGAAUUAUUGGGCGUAAAGAGCGCGUAGGCGGUCCGGUAAGUCGGUUGUGAAAGUCGGGGGCUCAACCCUCGGAUGCCGAUCGAUACUGUCGGGCUAGAGUCCGGAAGAGGCGAGUGGAAUUCCUGGUGUAGCGGUGAAAUGCGCAGAUAUCAGGAGGAACACCAAUGGCGAAGGCAGCUCGCUGGGACGGUACUGACGCUGAGACGCGAAAGCGUGGGGAGCGAACAGG